Molecule: long non-coding RNA, 505 nt
Organism: Gallus gallus (chicken)
Lineage: Eukaryota; Metazoa; Chordata; Aves; Galliformes; Phasianidae
Source: Ensembl
AUAAAGGAAGUCAAUACCUGGAACAACCUUCACGUGCUACCAUAUCAGAAUUAGAUUCAGGGAAGAAUAGAACAGCAAGAUACAGAGGAUGCAACACAGUCAAAAGGCACAGAACAGCUAGAAACAAGAGCCGUCUCUUCUCCAGGCUGAACAGUCCCAGCUCUCUCAGCCUGUCCUUGUAGGAGAGGUGUUCCAUCCCUUGGAUAUUUUCGUGGCCCUCCUCUGGAUGCAAUCCAACAGCUCCGUGUCUCUCCUGUCCUGAGGACUCCAUAUCUGGACUCAGUAGCCCAGGUGAGGCCUCACCAGCGCAGAGCAGAGGGGCAGGAUCACUCCCUCGCCCUGCUGACCACACUGCUUUGGAUGCAGCCCAGGAUACGGUUUGCUUUCUGGUCUGCAAGAGCACAUGUCCAGCUUGCCAUCCACCAGUACUCCCAGGUCCUUUUUGGUAAGGCUGCACUCAAUCAUUUAUCCCCCAGCUUGUAUUGGUAGUGGAUGUUGCCUUGAC